AACGAACGCUGGCGGCAGGCUUAACACAUGCCAGUCGAACGCGUGCAGCAAUGCACGAGUGGCGCACGGGUGAGUAACGAGUGGAUAUCUGCCUUUUGGUUCGGAAUAACCCCGGGAAACUGGGGCUAAUACCGGAUGGUUCCUACGGGAUAAAGAUUUAUCGCCAAAGGAUGAGUCCGCGUCCGAUUAGCUAGUUGGUGAGGUAAUGGCUCACCAAGGCGACGAUCGGUAGCUGGUCUGAGAGGACGAUCAGCCACACUGGGACUGAGACACGGCCCAGACUCCUACGGGAGGCAGCAGUGGGGAAUAUUGGACAAUGGGGGCAACCCUGAUCCAGCCAUGCCGCGUGAGUGAUGAAGGCCUUCGGGUUGUAAAGCUCUUUUGGCGGGGACGAUGAUGACGGUACCCGCAGAAUAAGCCCCGGCUAACUUCGUG
This 435-nucleotide ribosomal RNA is filed under the name uncultured bacterium. RNAcentral's name for it is "partial 16S ribosomal RNA". It matches the Rfam family "Bacterial small subunit ribosomal RNA", at positions 29 to 507 of the family's 1533-position model. The record is from RNAcentral.